Erythranthe guttata (spotted monkey flower) is the source of this 659-nucleotide non-coding RNA. The record is from RefSeq and is a predicted model, not a curated record. NCBI's taxonomy places the organism in Eukaryota, Viridiplantae, Streptophyta, Magnoliopsida, Lamiales, Phrymaceae.
CUUGUUUCUUGUUUGUUGUGACUAAAUUAAAAUAUGUGUCUCGAUCAGGAAUGAUUCUGGGAAAUUCUAUCCAUAUGGUAAUGAUGGAUCAUAUAACAUGACCGGAGAAGGGCCGGGUGCAGGCUACAGUGUUCUGAAUUUCAGAGAAUAUUAACGGCUGUUUCUAUCGGAUGAUGAUAGGUUUCAACUUACUCAUGGCCGAGGAGGAGAAGAGGCGUGAGACAGAAAGGCAGUAUACGGAGGAAAAAUCCCGUCUCAAGGGAGAGCUACAACGCGAGAGGAACGAGUUCAAGGGCACGAGAGUUGAGUUGGAGAGUACGCGGAAAGCGCUAAGGAGAAUCAAUGCAAUGCUGCGCAUUAAGGAAUUUAAGUACAACAAUGAGAUGCUAAGUGGGAAGAAUUUCUUGGCCUCACCGGCCAAAGGGUAAGGAGUUUGUUGCUAAUCUAAUUAGGAGGAAGGCCGUUAGCAAGUAUAUCGAGCCUCGCCAGACUUCCAGGAGGAGGCCAUGCAGAGGGCGUUCACUAUAUACGAUGAUGUCGUUCGAGAUUGCAGGUGCCAGCUCAGCGAGACUAGUAGCCGUAGCGGAUCGAGUUGAUGCUAGUUGUGUAAGUGAAAUAUCAAUGGCAUUAAUUUAUAAAUUUAUUCAGUACAUGAUCAG